Cyprinus carpio carpio is the source of this 1034-nucleotide long non-coding RNA. The record is from Ensembl. Lineage: Eukaryota; Metazoa; Chordata; Actinopteri; Cypriniformes; Cyprinidae.
AACUUUUCUCAAGGACAUUUCCUUUCACUCGCGAUGCGGAACAGACGAGGACGUCAUUUAUUUUCUAUAUGGGAAAUCGUAAAAGAAGGUUAAGUGUGUUUAAUAACAUCAUGUUGAUUUAUAGCGAUAUUUAUGUGCUUUACUCCAAAACUUUUUUCUCAAGAGAGAUAUUUUCUUCCACUCACGAUGGGGAGAAUACGGGGAAUCUGUUUCUUAUCAAAGGGAAACACCAUAAGUAACAUUUGAAUCGCUGUACAGUGCAGACGCGGUUAGAAAAAGUAAAGACCAGAAAGAGAUAUUUUCUUUCACUCGCGAAACGGAGUAGACGAGGAAGUUGGUUUUAGGAAAACACCGAAAACAGAGCCCUGCUUCAGCGCAAUGAGAUUAGCAUGGAAUUCAGGAAUUGCAACCUAUUUUCCAGUAAGUCGGACUUUCUUUUUACAACAAAAAUAUAUACAUUUACAGUGAGUUAAAUGCUUUUACUUAAAGUGUUAAAGUUUAAGUGGGAGUGGAUUUCUCACUUAGCUGGAAACUGCAGACAUCUUGUCGUCCUGAAAAAAAGAAAGAGACUACUUUCUCCUAGGAGGUCCAAACGCCAUUGGCACAGACUUUGUUCAGUGAUCAGUAACAUACAUUCAGCCAGGGCCGUCCUUAGUGGGGUGCAACUGGAGCGGUCGCACCGGGCCCCGCACUUGAGGGGUAAACGGACUGGAUGAGCCCUCCCUCCGCCAACCCGGGAACGCUCCCUACUUCACACCGGGCCCCGAAUCAGCUAAGUACGGCCCUGCAUUCAUGGUUGAUGGUAGUGAAUAAGAUGCUGUGGUUUAAGCAGAUAAAUGUAAGCACUAUAAACCUGAUUAAAUUGAGAAUACAUAUGGACCAAAUACGUUUUUUGUGCCUUUGCACUGAUUAGCUUUGAUAUUGUUUUAAUUGUUGUAAAGUAUGUUCUUUAUAUGCACUGAAAACACUGAAUGUGAAGACAUUUUAGUGCAGUGAAAAAGAGUUACAAUGUUUCAAUUAAAAUAAAUAAGUGC